This 497-nucleotide ribosomal RNA is filed under the name uncultured bacterium. RNAcentral describes it as "partial 16S ribosomal RNA". It matches the Rfam family "Bacterial small subunit ribosomal RNA", at positions 28 to 507 of the family's 1533-position model. The record is from RNAcentral.
GAUGAACGCUGGCGGCGUGCCUAAUACAUGCAAGUCGAGCGAACAGACGAGGAGCUUGCUCCUCUGACGUUAGCGGCGGACGGGUGAGUAACACGUGGAUAACCUACCUAUAAGACUGGGAUAACUUCGGGAAACCGGAGCUAAUACCGGAUAAUAUAUUGAACCGCAUGGUUCAAUAGUGAAAGACGGUUUUGCUGUCACUUAUAGAUGUAUCCGCGCCGCAUUAGCUAGUUGGUAAGGUAACGGCUUACCAAGGCAACGAUGCGUAGCCGACCUGAGAGGAUGAUCGGCCACACUGGAACUGAGACACGGUCCAGACUCCUACGGGAGGCAGCAGUAGGGAAUCUUCCGCAAUGGGCGAAAGCCUGACGGAGCAACGCCGCGUGAGUGAUGAAGGUCUUCGGAUCGUAAAACUCUGUUAUUAGGGAAGAACAAAUGUGUAAGUAACUAUGCACGUCUUGACGGUACCUAAUCAGAAAGCCACGGCUAACUACGUG